AGGAUGAACGCUGGCGGCGUGCCUAAUACAUGCAAGUCGAGCGCCCUAUACAGUGUGCUUCUUGCCUUCGAUAUAAGUCGAAGGAGUUAAGAAGCCCAAUGUAUAGGGAGCGGCGGACGGCUGAGUAACGCGUAGGAACGUACCCCAAACUGAGGAAUAAGCUCCGGAAACGGAGUCUAAUACCGCAUAAUACCCCCGGGUUAAAGCUUCGGCGGUUUGGGAGCGGCCUGCGUAUGAUUAGCUUGUUGGUGAGGUAAAAGCUCACCAAGGCGAUGAUCAUUAGCUGGUCUGAGAGGAUGACCAGCCAGACUGGAACUGAGAUACGGUCCAGACUCCUACGGGAGGCAGCAGUAGGGAAUUUUCCACAAUGGACGAAAGUCUGAUGGAGCAACGCCGCGUGCAGGAGGAAGGCCCUCGGGUCGUAAACUGCUUUUAUUGUGACGAUUUGACGGUAGCAAAUGAAUAAGGACCUGCUAACUACGUGCCAGCAGCCG
This 494-nucleotide ribosomal RNA is filed under the name uncultured bacterium. RNAcentral's name for it is "SSU rRNA". It matches the Rfam family "Bacterial small subunit ribosomal RNA", at positions 26 to 517 of the family's 1533-position model. The record is from RNAcentral.